Molecule: ribosomal RNA, 216 nt
Filed under: Glomeromycotina sp.
Lineage: Eukaryota; Fungi; Glomeromycota
Description: partial small subunit ribosomal RNA
Rfam family: Eukaryotic small subunit ribosomal RNA (bases 40-216)
Source: RNAcentral
GGGUCAGUAGGUUGGUCGUGCCACCGGUACGUACUGGUCUCACUGAUUCCUCCUUCCUGAAGAACCGUAAUGCCAUUAAUUUGGUGUUGCGGGGAAACAGGACUGUUACUUUGAAAAAAUUAGAGUGUUUAAAGUAAGCUAACGCUUGAAUAAAUUAGCAUGGAAUAAUGAAAUAGGACGAUCGAUCCUAUUUUGUUGGUUUCUAGGAUUGACGUA